This 21-nucleotide microRNA is filed under the name Aedes aegypti (yellow fever mosquito). Its description in RNAcentral is "Aae-Mir-11911_3p* (star (passenger))". The record is from RNAcentral. Lineage: Eukaryota; Metazoa; Arthropoda; Insecta; Diptera; Culicidae.
ACGAGUGCUUGGAUCAUCAAU